UGCGACGAUGAGAAACUGUCUAACGACAGGCGGACCGACACACCCAAUGAGGACUCUUGAAUGUGUACAAAUGUUGAGCA
Molecule: non-coding RNA, 80 nt
Filed under: Trypanosoma brucei brucei TREU927
Lineage: Eukaryota; Euglenozoa; Kinetoplastea; Trypanosomatida; Trypanosomatidae
Source: RNAcentral